ACCUCGGAUCAGGUAGGAAUACCCGCUGAACUUAAGCAUAUCAAU
This 45-nucleotide ribosomal RNA is filed under the name Fusarium sp. 95Fusa1. Its description in RNAcentral is "partial 28S ribosomal RNA". The record is from RNAcentral. Lineage: Eukaryota; Fungi; Ascomycota; Sordariomycetes; Hypocreales; Nectriaceae. RNAcentral also lists the same sequence under 1 other name.